RNAcentral lists this ribosomal RNA (426 nucleotides) under uncultured bacterium. RNAcentral's name for it is "bacterial SSU rRNA". It matches the Rfam family "Bacterial small subunit ribosomal RNA", at positions 356 to 773 of the family's 1533-position model. The record is from RNAcentral.
GGGGAAUAUUGCGCAAUGGGCGAAAGCCUGACGCAGCGACGCCGCGUGAGUGAUGAAGGCCUUCGGGUCGUAAAGCUCUGUUGGAGAGGGAAGAAAACCCUGAAGAAUAACACCUUCAGGUUUGACGGUACUUUUCCAGAAAGCACCGGCUAACUCCGUGCCAGCAGCCGCGGUAAUACAGAGGGUGCAAACGUUGUUCGGAAUCACUGGGCGUAAAGCGCGUGUAGGCGGCUUGGAAAGUCAGAUGUGAAAUCCCACGGCUUAACCGUGGAAGUGCAUUUGAAACUUCCAGGAUAGAAUAUGGGAGAGGGUUGUAGAAUUCCUGGUGUAGAGGUGAAAUUCGUAGAUAUCAGGAGGAAUACCGGUGGCGAAGGCGGCAACCUGGACCAAUAUUGACGCUGAGACGCGAAAGCGUGGGGAGCAAAC